CAAUAUAAUGCUCUGCUUGGAAAGCAAUCAUUAGGGUUGGACCAAAGUCCAUGCACAAAAAUGAUCGAGACUAUACUGCAAAAGCUGAAAGUACAACGUCAAGCGUAUCACGGAAAAAGUUUUGUGGGAAACCAUGUGCAUAAAAUGCUAAAAAAAUCUUCAAUACUUCAGCUAUGUAACUGUAUACCGAAGCUUGUUCAUGAAGAAGGAUAUUCAGGAACAAACGUGCACCUGUUAGCAGUUGAUUUUAGCAAUAAAUAUAAACAACUAUUUGAUAAAUUUGCCCAGUGCUACAAAAUAUUUUCUUCAAGAAGUAUAGUUACACCAGAAGAUUUAAUUCUUUUAAGGAAGUUUCAUUAAAUAAAAUAUUUUGAAAUUAGUGUUUAAGUAUACUUAUUGAUUUUUUUUAUAAUUGUUCUUUUAAAUUCUUUUAGAAAAAAAAUAUAAAAAGUUUAAUGCAAUUUUAUCGUGCGAAUUGGCCCGAGGCUUCAAUUAACACCUACACCUAAGUUGCAUAUGUUAGAACAUCAUGCUGUUCCGUUUUUGAAAAAAUGGGAGCGGGAUUCGGGUACAAAUGUUGAGAUCACAAAUCGAGCCUUUUUUUAGUCUUCAAAUACCUAUUUGGCUAACCAAGAGCACCAUGGAGAAUACCAUUUAAGAGAUUGGCUAUCCUUUUUCAACCUUACCGAAAACAUUUUUGUGCCAAGGCGGGAGAGCCCAAAUGCUACGGCUGCUUAAUUUUUUGUCAAUAAAAUAGCUACAGUCUUAUUAUAAGUAUUUACAUAUUUUUUUAAAUCUGAACAUUGUCUAACUAGAAACCAAGAUUAGCGUCGCAGAGGCGUAACCAGGGCGAGAAUUAAGUUAAUAAGUUAAUAAUGCCUAUAACAUAUAGAAAAUUUGCGUAUACUUGUUUAU
Molecule: long non-coding RNA, 915 nt
Organism: Hydra vulgaris (swiftwater hydra)
Lineage: Eukaryota; Metazoa; Cnidaria; Hydrozoa; Anthoathecata; Hydridae
Source: RefSeq, a predicted model, not a curated record